Molecule: ribosomal RNA, 474 nt
Filed under: uncultured bacterium
Lineage: Bacteria
Description: bacterial SSU rRNA
Rfam family: Bacterial small subunit ribosomal RNA
Source: RNAcentral
AGGACGAACGCUGGCGGCGUGCCUAACACAUGCAAGUCGAGCGAUGAAGUUCUUCGGAACGGAUUAGCGGCGGACGGGUGAGUAACACGUGGGUAACCUGCCUUGUAGAGGGGGAUAGCCUUCCGAAAGGAAGAUUAAUACCGCAUAAUAUCUUUUUUAUCGCAUGGUAGAAAGAUCAAAGGAGCAAUCCGCUACAAGAUGGACCCGCGGCGCAUUAGCUAGUUGGUGAGGUAACGGCUCACCAAGGCGACGAUGCGUAGCCGACCUGAGAGGGUGAUCGGCCACAUUGGAACUGAGACACGGUCCAGACUCCUACGGGAGGCAGCAGUGGGGAAUAUUGCGCAAUGGGGGAAACCCUGACGCAGCAACGCCGCGUGAAUGAAGAAGGCCUUAGGGUUGUAAAGUUCUGUUUACGGGGACGAUAAUGACGGUACCCGUGGAGGAAGCCACGGCUAACUACGUGCCAGCAGCUGC